CACGUAGGGUGCGAGCGUUGUCCGGAAUUAUUGGGCGUAAAGAGCUCGUAGGCGGUGUGUCGCGUCGGCCGUGAAAACCUGCAGCUUAACUGUGGGCUUGCGGUCGAUACGGGCAUCACUGGAGUUCGGCAGGGGAGACUGGAAUUCCUGGUGUGGCGGUGAAAUGCGCAGAUAUCAGGAGGAACACCGGUGGCGAAGGCGGGUCUCUGGGCCGAUACUGACGCUGAGGAGCGAAAGCGUGGGGAGCGAACAGG
Molecule: ribosomal RNA, 254 nt
Filed under: uncultured bacterium
Lineage: Bacteria
Description: partial 16S ribosomal RNA
Rfam family: Bacterial small subunit ribosomal RNA
Source: RNAcentral